RNA transcript from Eurytemora carolleeae, 3611 nucleotides. RefSeq lists it as uncharacterized. The transcript is spliced from 27 exons. The record is from RefSeq and is a predicted model, not a curated record. Lineage: Eukaryota; Metazoa; Arthropoda; Copepoda; Calanoida; Temoridae.
GAAUAUAAAAUCUAGGCUCUCGAGAAUAAUAGUAAUUGUUGUUUAGAAUUUUGUGUACCAUGAGAAUAGGGUGCAGUUAGUUGUAGAAGAAUUAGUUGGACUUCAAAAUCAACUAGACCAUGAACCUGAACCAGAACCAUUUGAACCUCAAAUUAUGUACAAAGGCAAAGGAAAAGGGGUGAAAGGAAAGAAAAGCAAAAACUGCGGAAGAUUUGUGAAAAAGAGUUCAGGCAUGAGCAAUGAGAGAGAUGAUCCUGGAACCCCUGAUGAACUACCAGAUCCACACCUUAAUCAAAUUCUUCCAGAAGUUCUACCGGAGCAAACAGGUUUUAGUCCUUCCUUCACAAUAUCCUCUGGGUCUAGUUCUAGUGAGAGGAGUUAUGGUUCCCAAGCUAUAUCUCCGGAUAUACCAGAUGAACUACCGGAGAAACCUCAGGAGAAACCACCUCAACUAAACCAAAAUACUCUUAUUAAACCAAAGAAGGAAAAGACUCGUAAGUCCACAGAACGUAGAGCUGUUAAACGUAAGGCUGGAGAUCUUGAGGAGCAUAUGCUUCAUGGUCCAUUCAACUUCAAGGCACAUAGAGCACCUGGUGUCAAAAAGGAGAAAACAUCUUCUAAUCUUAGAGACGAACUCAUCACUGUUGUCAUGCAAGCAGGCCGCAAACCUGCCAAAGUUGCGAAGACCAAUUCAGUGGAAAUCAUCGAAGAGGACAUUAAACCUGUUGUAUUGGCUGCACCUGAUAUUCCUGAAGUUUUGGUUUUAUCUCCAAUACCUCCAGCUCCUCCAGUUCUAGCUGCUCCAACUCCAGCUCCUCCAGCCGCUCCAGCUCUUAUAGCUGCUCCAGCUGCUAUUUCUAACAAGGAGAUAGAUGAUCUCGUAGGAAACCUUUGUGAGAUGUUUCAAGAAACAGACCCUUCAUAUAUUCGUCUCAGAGCUGAGGAUCUGGUGGGUAAACCUGCAGCCCUGGAUAGGUUUACUAUGGAGUUAAUCCAGGAUCCUAAUCCACCAGUAAACUGGAGACAAAUAUAUUCUAUACCUCUUCACCAGGUACAAACACCACCACCUCCUCCUCCACCUCCUCCCCAGCUUUUUAUACAGCAGAGAGACAUCAAGCCUUCGACCCCUCCGGUCCAUACAGACGACAUGGAAGAAAUACAUCUGCCUGGCAUUUCCAAGAUAAAGAAUGAGAUUGGUUCCCGGGCCCAAACUCCUGUGCAAAGUGGAUCCUGGAUGCGAACUCCUUCCGAAGGUGGUUCCAGGUCCCAAACUCCUUCUGAGGGUGGUUCCAGGUCCCAAACUCCUUCAGAGGGAGGUUCCAGAGCUCAGACUCCAGUGCAGGAUAGAUCUAGGAACCCUACCCCUUCCGAAGACCUCGGUGAGGUUGAGGUGGAUCCCCAGGAGGAACUAGAGAAGGAGAUGAUGACAGGGAUGCGUUCCUUGUUCCCUGAUCUUUGUCCAGCCUGGAUUCAAGAUCAAAUAUAUCAGAUAGUUAGAUCUGAAAUUAAAGAUAUUCAAGAGCUUCAUAGAUUAUUUCAAACUAAGGUUGAAGCAAUAUUCAGUUUACCGGCGGAAGAAAGGAAAUCUCUACCAACAUACAAGGACUGGGAGAAAAAGCAGAGGGAGAUGAAGGAACUAGAGAAGUGGUCUGGACAGAUGACAGUUUCGGAUAUGCUUGAUUUAUUUCAAGACCCUGUAGCCUACUUCACGGAUCCCUCAAGGGAGAUGAAGGAUGAAGGAUAUAAACAACAGUGUGUCGUUGCACUCAAGGAAGCUUUCAGAUACCAUUCUAACGCGGAUGUUGAGAAAGCUCUACGCCAGGGUAAAGGACUGUUUGCCCUCACAUAUAAGAUACUUAAGAACAGGCCCAAUUCUAGGAAAACUAAACGGUCUGAUCAUGAAGUUCGUCACGUGGCAGGUCCCCCCUGUAUCCAUCUCCUCAAGGAGAAGAAGUUCGUCGAGUUGGAGGAAAUGAUCAAGGUCGAGCUCAAGAACAGGGAGGAGAGGAGGCUCGAGAUGAUUGAGGAGGCUAGAACAGCUGGUAUUCUGGUAGAAUGUAGUUGCUGCUACUCCGACGAAUGUCUGGAUGAAGAUAUGAUCUCCUGCAACAAUAACCAUAUGUUCUGUAAGGAAUGUGUAUCCCGGGGUGCUAGUGUUGCUAUAGGAGAUGGUAAAACUAUAAUUGAAUGCCUUGGAAUGUGUAGUGAAGAGAUAAGCUGGCAGGAACUACAAAGAGCUCUAACUCCUAAUGUUCUCUCGAAACUUCUACAGAAAAGACAAGCGGCAGAGGUUGCCACUGCAGGAUUGGAGGGAAUAGUGACCUGUCCGUUCUGCCCUUACAUGACAAUAAUGGAUGACGUAAACGAUAAGAUAUUGGUGUGUAAGAACCCUGACUGCGGACGUGAAUCCUGUAGAUUGUGUAAAGAACCAAACCAUGUUCCCCUCAGGUGUGAGGAGGUGGAAAGUAGGGACGAAGAGACUCAACGAAAGAAAAUAGAAGAAAAACUUUCUCAAGCAAUGAUUAGGGAGUGCCAUAAAUGCAAGACUAAAUAUUUUAAAGAAGAAGGAUGCAAUAAGAUGACAUGUCCGAAGAAAGGUUGUGGAGCUAAAAUGUGUUAUCUCUGUAAAGAACCAGUUCAGGGUUACGAACACUUCUAUGGACAGGGAGGUACCCCUGGUAAAGAAAAGAAGUGUCCCCUCUGGAGUGAUUCUAAAUCUCUACAUGAGAAGGAGAUUGCUUUAGCAGCUCAAGAGGCACGAGAGGAACUUGCAGAGAAUAAUAUUACACUAAGGGAUAGUGUAAACCCAACCAAGGGUAUUCCUGAUCCAACUACUAUCAAGAUGAAGGAUCCCUUCCCAGGUAUACCAGCAGGUGGAGUAGGAGGACAUUACGGAGGAUUAAUGGUCCAACCUGAGUUAAUGGGUAUGAUGGCGAGGAUGGGUGAGAUCUAUAGAAUACGUGAGGCUGGUAGAGCUCACCAGAGGCUAGCCAGGAUAGAGGAGGAGAGGGCUCUCAGAGAUCUUAGGCGUAAUCAGUGGGUUCAUCAUCAACCUCAACCUGUUCAAUAUCAUUACCAUCCGUAUCCUCCUCCUCCUCAACCUAAUCCUCCACAUCAACCCCUCCCACCUGCUCAACAGCUUAUCAAUCAUCAUCCCAUUCAUCAACAACAUGGUGUCAAUCCAAUAGGAGUUCAUCACAUGUACAAUCCUGUACAAACCCAUCCUGUACACCAUCAUCCUGCUCCUAAUCAACCCUUAAACCCUCCUCCUCCUCCUCCGCAACAGCCUAAUCUUAUAAAUGAUCCCAUGUAAUGGUGUGAUGUGACCUUAACUAAUGCUCAACUGAAAAUAAUGACUGUUAAACAAAGGCUUCUCUGAUUACCACAAAUAAGAUAAUAUGCAACCAAAAUACAAGAUAAUCUGCAACCAAAAUACUUUCGAUAAUUUUAUAAAUUUAGAUAAUUACUAGUUCAGUAAAAGUUUAUUUGAAUAUUCAAAUAACAUGUUAAAUUUAGAAAUACAAAACUAAAUUUCAUGUAAUUGUUAAAUUGUCAAAAUUGUUGGACAUACAUGUAAACUAAAAUUUGGAAUAAAUCCUAUGUAAUUAGAA